RNAcentral lists this ribosomal RNA (249 nucleotides) under uncultured bacterium. Its description in RNAcentral is "partial 16S ribosomal RNA". It matches the Rfam family "Bacterial small subunit ribosomal RNA", at positions 791 to 1035 of the family's 1533-position model. The record is from RNAcentral.
UAGUCCUAGCCGUAAACGGUGCACAUUUGCCGUGAGAGGAAUCGACCCCGUUCGUGGCGUAGCCAACGCGAUAAAUGUGCCGCCUGGGAAGUACGGUCGCAAGAUUAAAACUCAAAGAAAUUGACGGGGGCCUGCACAAGCGGUGGAGUAUGUGGCUUAAUUCGAUGCAACGCGAAGAACCUUACCUGGCCUUGACAUGCACGUAGUAGGAGGAUGAAAGUCUAACGAAUCCGCAAGGAUAGCGUGCAC